AGUUUUGAUCAUGGCUCGAGGAUGAACGCCGGCGGCGUGCUUAACACAUGCAAGUCGAGGGGAAACGACAUCGAAAGCUUGCUUUUGAUGGGCGUCGACCGGCGCACGGGUGAGUAACGCGUAUCCAACCUGCCCACCACUUGGGGAUAACCUUGCGAAAGUAAGACUAAUACCCAAUGAUAUCUCUAGAAGACAUCUGAAAGAGAUUAAAGAUUUAUCGGUGAUGGAUGGGGAUGCGUCUGAUUAGCUUGUUGGCGGGGUAACGGCCCACCAAGGCAACGAUCAGUAGGGGUUCUGAGAGGAAGGUCCCCCACAUUGGAACUGAGACACGGUCCAAACUCCUACGGGAGGCAGCA
This 356-nucleotide ribosomal RNA is filed under the name uncultured bacterium. Its description in RNAcentral is "bacterial SSU rRNA". It matches the Rfam family "Bacterial small subunit ribosomal RNA", at positions 10 to 353 of the family's 1533-position model. The record is from RNAcentral.